This 442-nucleotide ribosomal RNA is filed under the name uncultured bacterium. RNAcentral's name for it is "partial 16S ribosomal RNA". It matches the Rfam family "Bacterial small subunit ribosomal RNA", at positions 338 to 795 of the family's 1533-position model. The record is from RNAcentral.
CCUACGGGUGGCUGCAGUGGGGAAUAUUGGGCAAUGGGCGCAAGCCUGACCCAGCAACGCCGCGUGAAGGAAGAAGGCUUUCGGGUUGUAAACUUCUUUUGUCAGGGAAGAGUAGAAGACGGUACCUGACGAAUAAGCCACGGCUAACUACGUGCCAGCAGCCGCGGUAAUACGUAGGUGGCAAGCGUUGUCCGGAUUUACUGGGUGUAAAGGGCGUGUAGCCGGGUUGACAAGUCAGAUGUGAAAUCCUGGGGCUUAACCGCAGAACUGCAUUUGAAACUGUUGAUCUUGAGUACUGGAGAGGCAGGUGGAAUUCCGAGUGGAGCGGUGAAAUGCGUAGAUAUUAGGAGGAACACCAGUGGCGAAGGCGGUCUGCUGGACAGCAACUGACGGUGAGGCGCGAAAGCGUGGGGAGCAAACAGGAUUAGAUACCCUUGUAGUC